This 859-nucleotide long non-coding RNA is filed under the name Marmota monax (woodchuck). Lineage: Eukaryota; Metazoa; Chordata; Mammalia; Rodentia; Sciuridae. The record is from RNAcentral.
GGCGCACCAGGAGAUUCUGAUGACAGUGCUCUGAAAAAGGCCAAAGAAAAAGAACAUUUCCACUGUGGGAAAUACUCCAACUGCUGCAUAUAUUUGAUGGCGGCCAUCGGCCCUCAAAGUGAAGUCCCUGAACAGCAUCCACAUCAUCUGGGAACUUGUUAGAAAUGCCAAGCCAGAGCACUGAGUCAGAAACUCUGGGACAGGGCCCAACUGCCACUUCACAAGGGCUCCAGGUGAUUUUCACAGACCAAAGUGUCCUUGUAGAAUUCCAUAUCACUGGUUCUCAAAUGUGGCUCCAUACUGAAAUUCCCCACAGAGGUUUAAAAUCUGGGUCACAUACCCAGAGAUGCUGAUUGAGAGGAUCUGGGAUGUAGGCUCAUUAUAGUAUUUUUAAAAAGGAUUCCCAGCUACUCUAAGGUGUAGAAAAAUUUGAGAACCAUUGGCUAUAGUUCAGUUUACCAAAGUUUGGGGUCUCUGUUAUGUGAAAACUCUUGAAGGCAAGCAUUAUACCCCAGUCACUAAUAAUGAAAUGGCACUGUAUGAAGUAAAGAAUAAAUGUUAUGUAUAAACGGUAUCUAGAUGACAUGUUUAUGUUCCAUAAUCUACCUUUACAUUUUAACAUGAUCGUGGAAAAUGUAAAUAACUUUCUCCAAGCCACUGGAAAUACCAAAUGAAGUUGGAACAAGAACACACCCUCCCUACCUUCCUUCCCCUACUGGCCAGUCUCCUGGGUCAUUCAAGCUCCCACAUCAUUGGCUUCCUCAGUUCCCUCAGGUGCAUCAUCCCCUGUGUGGGCAAGCCUAGCUUUUAUUGCCAUGGAAGCAACUGGCAAGGGUGUAAGUCCCAGACAACGAGAUCU